Molecule: long non-coding RNA, 5509 nt
Filed under: Xyrichtys novacula (pearly razorfish)
Lineage: Eukaryota; Metazoa; Chordata; Actinopteri; Labriformes; Labridae
Source: RNAcentral
AGGUUAUGGGGCUAGGUAAGGUUUAAGGUUUUUGGCGUGAGGGUUAAAAUCACUGUCCAAAACCUUUGUAGGAACUCUUUUCCAACCUUUUGGAGUUAGUUAGACCAAAAAAAAAAUGAAAAAUGAAAAAACAAUAUUUGGGGUGUUCAAGCUUCCUGAAGGUAAUACCCGGGUAUUAGGUUAUGGGGCUAGGGAAAGGUUUAAGGUUUUUGGCGUAAGGGUUAAAAUCACUGUCCAAAACCUUUGUGGGAACUCUUUUCCAACCUUUUGGAGUUAGUUAGACCACAAAAAAUGAAAAUAAAAAAAAAAAUAUUUGGGGUGUUCAGGCUUCCUGAAGGUAAUACCCGGGUAUUAGGUUUUGGGGCUAGGGUAAGGUUUAAGGUUUUUGGCGAUAGGGUUAAAAUCACUGUCCAAAACCUUUGUAGGAACUCUUUUCCAACCUUUUGGAGUUAGUUAGACAAAAAAAAAAAAAGAUAAAUUAAAAAAAAAUAUUUGGGGUGUUCGGGCUUCCUGAAGGUAAUACCCGGGUAUUAGGUUAUGGGGCUAGGGUAAGGUUUAAGGUUUUUGGCGUAAGGGUUAAAAUCACUGUCCAAAACCUUUUUUAAGGAACAUGUUUCCAGACCUUUGGGAGUUAGUUAGACAAAAAAAAAAGAAAAAGAAAAAAAAAUAUUUGGGGUGUUCGGGUUUCCUGAAGGUAAUACCCGGGUAUUAGGUUAGGGGCUAAGGUAAGGUUUAAGGUUUUUGGCGUGAGGGUUAAAAUCACUGUCCAAAACCUUUGUAGGAACUCUUUUCCUACCUUUUGGAGUUAGUUAGACAAAAAAAAUAAAUAAAUGAAAAAAAAAUAUUUGGGGUGUUCGGGCUUCCUGAAGGUAAUACCCGGGUAUUAGGUUAUGGGGCUAGGUUAAGGUUUAAGGUUUUUGGCGUGAGGGUUAAAAUCACUUUCCAAAACCUUUGUAGGAAGUCUUUUCCAACCUUUUGGAGUUAGUUAGACAAAAAAAAAAAAGAUAAAUGAAAAAAAAAUAUUUGGGGUGUUCGGGCUUCCUGAAGGUAAUACCCGGGUAUUACGUUUUGGGGCUAGGGUAACUUUUAAGGUUUUUGGCGAUAGGGUUAAAAUCACUGUCCAAAACCUUUGUAGGAACUCUUUUCCAACCUUUUGGAGUUAGUUAGACAAAAAAAAAAAGAUAAAUUAAAAAAAAAUAUUUGGGGUGUUCGGGCUUCCUGAAGGUAAUACCCGGGUAUUAGGUUAUGGGGCUAGGGUAAGGUUUAAGGUUUUUGGCGUAAGGGUUAAAAUCACUGUCCAAAACCUUUUUAGGAACAUGUUUCAGACCUUUUGGAGAUGGUUACACCAAAAAAAAUGUAAAAUGAAAAAAAAAAAUAUUUGGGGUGUUCGGGCUUCCUGAAGGUAAUACCCGGGUAUUAGGUUAUGGGGCUAGGGUAAGGUUUAAGGUUUUUGGCGAUAGGGUUAAAAUCACUGUCCAAAACCUUUGUAGGAACUCUUUUCCAACCUUUUGGAAUUAGUUAGACAAAAAAAAAGAUAAAUGAAAAAAAAAUAUUUGGGGUGUUCGGGCUUCCUGAAGGUAAUACCCGGGUAUUAGGUUAUGGGGCUAGGGUUAGGUUUAAGGUUUUUGGCGUUAGGGUUAAAGUAACUGUCCAAUAUUUUUUAAGGAACAUGUUUCAGACCUUUGGGAGUUAGUUAGACAAAAAAAAAAGAAAAAGAAAAAAAAAUUAUUUGGGGUGUUCGGGUUUCCUGAAGGUAAUACCCGGGUAUUAGGUUUUGGGGCUAGGGUAACUUUUAAGGUUUUUGGCGAUAGGGUUAAAAUCACUGUCCAAAACCUUUGUAGGAACUCUUUUCCAACCUUUUGGAGUGAGUUAGACCACAAAAAAUGAAAAAUAAAAAAAAAAUAUUUGGGGUGUUCAGGCUUCCUGAAGGUAAUACCCGGGUAUUAGGUUUUGGGGCUAGGGUAACUUUUAAGGUUUUUGGCGAUAUGGUUAAAAUCACUGUCCAAAACCUUUGUAGGAACUCUUUUCCAACCUUUUGGAGUUAGUUAGACCACAAAAAAUGAAAAAAAAAAAUAUAUAUUUGGGGUGUUCAGGCUUCCUGAAGGUAAUACCCAGGUAUUAGGUUUUGGGGCUAGGGUAACUUUUAAGGUUUUUGGCGAUAGGGUUAAAAUCACUGUCCAAAACCUUUGUAGGAACUCUUUUCCAACCUUUUGGAGUUAGUUAGACAAAAAAAAAAAAGAUAAAUUAAAAAAAAAUAUUUGGGGUGUUCGGGCUUCCUGAAGGUAAUACCCGGGUAUUAGGUUAUGGGGCUAGGGUAAGGUUUAAGGUUUUUGGCGUAAGGGUUAAAAUCACUGUCCAAAACCUUUUUAGGAACAUGUUUCAGACCUUUUGGAGAUGGUUACACCAAAAAAAAAUGUAAAAUGAAAAAAAAAAUAUUUGGGGUGUUCGGGCUUCCUGAAGGUAAUACCCGGGUAUUAGGUUAUGGGGCUAGGGUAAGGUUUAAGGUUUUUGGUGAUAGGGUUAAAAUCACUGUCCAAAACCUUUGUAGGAACUCUUUUCCAACCUUUUGGAGUUAGUUAGACAAAAAAAAAAGAUAAAUGAAAAAAAAAAUAUUUGGGGUGUUCGGGCUUCCUGAAGGUAAUACCCGGGUAUUAGGUUAUGGGGCUAGGGUAAGGUUUAAGGUUUUUGGCGUAAGGGUUAAAGUAACUGUCCAAUAUUUUUUAAGGAACAUGUUUCAGACCUUUUGGAGUUGGUUACACCAAAAAAAAUGUAAAAUGAAAAAAAAAAUUUUUUGGGGUGUUCGGGCUUCCUGAAGGUAAUACCCGGGUAUUAGGUUUUGGGGCUAGAGUUAGGUUUAAGGUUUUUGGCGUUAGGGUUAAAGUAACUGUCCAAAACCUUUGUAGGAACUCUUUUCCAACCUUUUGGAGUUAGUUAGACCACAAAAAAUGAAAAAUAAAAAAAAAAUAUUUGGGGUGUUCGGGCUUCCUGAAGGUAAUACCCGGGUAUUAGGUUAUGGGCUAGGGUAAGGUUUAAGGUUUUUGGCGUGAGGGUUAAAAUCACUGUCCAAAACCUUUGUAGGAAGUCUUUUCCAACCUUUUGGAGUUAGUUAGACAAAAAAAAAAAAAAGAAAAAAAAAUAUUUGGGGUGUUCAGGCUUCCUGAAGGUAAUACCCGGGUAUUAGGUUUUGGGGCUAGGGUAAGGUUUAAGGUUUUUGGCGAUAUGGUUAAAAUCACUGUCCAAAACCUUUGUAGGAACUCUUUUCCAACCUUUUGGAGUUAGUUAGACAAAAAAAAAGAUAAAUUAAAAAAAAAUAUUUGGGGUGUUCGGGCUUCCUGAAGGUAAUACCCGGGUAUUAGGUUAUGGGGCUAGGGUAAGGUUUAAGGUUUUUGGAGUAAGGGUUAAAAUCACUGUCCAAAACCUUUUUAGGAACAUGUUUCCAGACCUUUUGGAGAUGGUUACACCAAAAAAAAAAAUUGUAAAAUGAAAAAAAAUAUAUUUGGGGUGUUCGGGCUUCCUGAAGGUAAUACCCGGGUAUUAGGUUAUGGGGCUAGGGUAAGGUUUAAGGUUUUUGGUGAUAGGGUUAAAAUCACUGUCCAAAACCUUUGUAGGAACUCUUUUCCAACCUUUUGGAGUUAGUUAGACAAAAAAAAAAGAUAAAUGAAAAAAAAAAUAUUUGGGGUGUUCGGGCUUCCUGAAGGUAAUACCCGGGUAUUAGGUUAUGGGGCUAGGGAAAGGUUUAAGGUUUUUGGCGUAAGGGUUAAAAUCACUGUCCAAAACCUUUUUAGGAACAUGUUUCAGACCUUUUGGAGUUGGUUACACCAAAAAAAAUGUAAAAUGAAAAAAAAAUUUUGGGGUGUUCGGGCUUCCUGAAGGUUAUACUAGGUUUCUGGGCUAGGGUAAUGUUUAAGGUUUUUGGAGUUAGGGUUAAAAUCAAUGUCCAAAACCUUUGUAGGAACUCUUUUCCAACCUUUGAGAGCAAGUUAGACCAAAACAAAAAGAAAAAUAAAAAAUAUAUAUUUGGGGUGUUCGGGCAUCCUGAAGGUAAUACCCGGGUAUUAGGUUAUGGGGCUAGGGUAAGGUUUAAGGUUUAAGGUUUUUCGGCGUGAGGGUUAAAAUCACUGUCCAAAACCUUUGUAGGAACUCUUUUCCAACCUUUUGGAGUUAGUUAGACCACAAAAAAUGAAAAAUAAAAAAAAAAUAUUUGGGGUGUUCGGGCUUCCUGAAGGUAAUACCCGGGUAUUAGGUUUUGGGGCUAGGGUAAGGUUUAAGGUUUUUGGCGAUAGGGUUAAAAUCACUGUCCAAAACCUUUGUAGGAACUCUUUUCCAACCUUUUGGAGUUAGUUAGACCAAAAAAAAUGAAUAAAUAAAAAAAUAUAUAUUUGGGGUGUUCGGGCUUCCUGAAGGUAAUACCCGGGUAUUAGGUUUUGGGGCUAGGGUAAGGUUUAAGGUUUUUGGCGUAAGGGUUAAAAUCACUGUCCAAAACCUUUUUAGGAACAUGUUUCAGACCUUUUGGAGAUGGUUACACCAAAAAAAUGUAAAAUGAAAAAAAAAAUAUUUGGGGUGUUCGGGCUUCCUGAAGGUAAUACCCGGGUAUUAGGUUAUGGGGCUAGGGUAAGGUUUAAGGUUUUUGGCGAUAGGGUUAAAAUCACUGUCCAAAACCUUUGUAGGAACUCUUUUCAAACCUUUUGGAGUUAGUUAGACAAAAAAAAAAGAUAAAUGAAAAAAAAAAUAUUUGGGGUGUUCGGGCUUCCUGAAGGUAAUAACCGGGUAUUAGGUUAUGGGGCUAGGGUAAGUUUUAAGGUUUUUGGCGUAAGGGUUAAAUAACUGUCCAAUAUUUUUUAAGGAACAUGUUUCAGACCUUUUGGAGAUGGUUACACCAAAAAAAAUGUAAAAUGAAAAAAAAUUUUUUUGGGGUGUUCGGGCUUCCUGAAGGUAAUACCCGGGUAUUAGGUUUUGGGGCUAGGGUAAGGUUUAAGGUUUUUGGCGUUAGGGUUAAAAUCACUGUCCAAAACCUUUUUAGGAACAUGUUUCAGACCUUUUGGAGUUAGUUAGACAAAAAAAAAAGAAAAAGAAAAAAAAUAUUUGGGGUGUUCGGGCUUCCUGAAGGUAAUACCCGGGUAUUAGGUUAGGGGCUAGGUAAGGUUUAAGGUUUUUGGCGUGAGGGUUAAAAUCACUGUCCAAAACCUUUGUAGGAACUCUUUUCCAACCUUUUGGAGUUAGUUAGACCACAAAAAAUGAAAAAAAAAAAAAAAAAUAUUUGGGGUGUUCGGGCUUCCUGAAGGUAAUACCCGGGUAUUAGGUUUUGGGGCUAGGGUAAGGUUUAAGGUUUUUGGCGAUAGGGUUAAAAUCACUGUCCAAAACCUUUGUAGGAAGUCUUUUCCUACCUUUUGGAGUUAGUUAGACAAAAAAAAAAAAAUAAAUGACAAAAAAAUAUUUGGGGUGUUCGGGCUUCCUGAAGGUAAUACCCGGGUAUUAGGUUAUGGGGCUAGGUUAAGGUUUAAGGUUUUUG